This 524-nucleotide ribosomal RNA is filed under the name uncultured bacterium. RNAcentral's name for it is "partial 16S ribosomal RNA". It matches the Rfam family "Bacterial small subunit ribosomal RNA", at positions 28 to 523 of the family's 1533-position model. The record is from RNAcentral.
GACGAACGCUGGCGGCGUGCCUAAUACAUGCAAGUCGAGCGCAGGAAACUGACGGAACUCUUCGGAGGGAAGGCAGUGGAAUGAGCGGCGGACGGGUGAGUAACACGUAAGGAACCUGCCUCAAGGAUUGGGAUAACUCCGAGAGAUCGGAGCUAAUACCGGAUAGUUCAACGGACCGCAUGGUCCGUUGAUGAAAGGCGCUCCGGCGUCACCUUGAGAUGGCCUUGCGGUGCAUUAGCUAGUUGGUGGGGUAACGGCCGACCAAGGCGACGAUGCAUAGCCGACCUGAGAGGGUGAUUGGCCACACUGGGACUGAGACACGGCCCAGACUCCUACGGGAGGAAGCAGUAGGGAAUCUUCCACAAUGGACGAAAGUCUGAUGGAGCAACGCCGCGUGAGUGAUGAAGGUUUUCGGAUCGUAAAACUCUGUUGUAAGGGAAGAACACGUACGAGAGGGAAUGCUCGUACCUUGACGGUACCUUACGAGAAAGCCACGGCUAACUACGUGCCAGCCGCCGCUGUAA